GACGAACCGUGCGAACGUUAUUCGGAAUCACUGGGCUUAAAGGGCGCGUAGGCGGACUGCCGCGUCCGGGGUGAAAUCCUCCGGCUCAACCGGGGAAGGGCCUCGGAUACGGGCGGUCUGGAGGGGGGUAGGGGCGUGCGGAACUGUGGGUGGAGCGGUGAAAUGCGUUGAGAUCCACAGGAACUCCGGUGGCGAAGGCGGCACGCUGGACCCCUUCUGACGCUGAGGCGCGAAAGCCAGGGGAGCGAACGGG
Molecule: ribosomal RNA, 253 nt
Filed under: uncultured bacterium
Lineage: Bacteria
Description: partial 16S ribosomal RNA
Rfam family: Bacterial small subunit ribosomal RNA
Source: RNAcentral